This 492-nucleotide ribosomal RNA is filed under the name uncultured bacterium. RNAcentral's name for it is "partial 16S ribosomal RNA". It matches the Rfam family "Bacterial small subunit ribosomal RNA", at positions 29 to 507 of the family's 1533-position model. The record is from RNAcentral.
AGUGAACGCUGGCGGUAGGCCUAACACAUGCAAGUCGAACGGCAGCACAGUAAGAGCUUGCUCUUACGGGUGGCGAGUGGCGGACGGGUGAGGAAUACAUCGGAAUCUACUUUUUCGUGGGGGAUAACGUAGGGAAACUUACGCUAAUACCGCAUACGACCUACGGGUGAAAGCAGGGGAUCUUCGGACCUUGCGCGAUUGAAUGAGCCGAUCUCGGAUUAGCUAGUUGGCGGGGUAAAGGCCCACCAAGGCUACGAUCCGUAGCUGGUCUGAGAGGAUGAUCAGCCACACUGGAACUGAGACACGGUCCAGACUCCUACGGGAGGCAGCAGUGGGGAAUAUUGGACAAUGGGCGCAAGCCUGAUCCAGCCAUACCGCGUGGGUGAAGAAGGCCUUCGGGUUGUAAAGCCCUUUUGUUGGGAAAGAAAAGCAGCAGGUUAAUACCCCGCUGUUCUGACGGUACCCAAAGAAUAAGCACCGGCUAACUUCGUG